RNAcentral lists this ribosomal RNA (253 nucleotides) under uncultured bacterium. RNAcentral describes it as "partial 16S ribosomal RNA". It matches the Rfam family "Bacterial small subunit ribosomal RNA", at positions 524 to 776 of the family's 1533-position model. The record is from RNAcentral.
UACAGAGGUCCCAAGCGUUACUGAGAAUCACUGGGUUUAAAGGGUGCGUAGGUGGUCCGUUAAGUCAGUUGUGAAAUCUCCGGGCUCAACUCGGGAACUGCUUCUGAUACUGGCGGACUUGAGGCCAGUAGGGGUCACUAGAACUGACGGUGGAGCGGUGAAAUGCGUAGAUAUCGUCAGGAAUGCCGGUGGUGAAGACGGGUGACUGGGCUGGUUCUGACACUGAGGCACGAAAGCGUGGGGAGCGAACGGG